Molecule: ribosomal RNA, 417 nt
Filed under: Lacticaseibacillus rhamnosus
Lineage: Bacteria; Bacillati; Bacillota; Bacilli; Lactobacillales; Lactobacillaceae
Description: bacterial SSU rRNA
Rfam family: Bacterial small subunit ribosomal RNA
Source: RNAcentral
UCGCAGUCUGAUGGAGCACGCCGCGUGAGUGAAGAAGGCUUUCGGGUCGUAAAACUCUGUUGUUGGAGAAGAAUGGUCGGCAGAGUAACUGUUGUCGGCGUGACGGUAUCCAACCAGAAAGCCACGGCUAACUACGUGCCAGCAGCCGCGGUAAUACGUAGGUGGCAAGCGUUAUCCGGAUUUAUUGGGCGUAAAGCGAGCGCAGGCGGUUUUUUAAGUCUGAUGUGAAAGCCCUCGGCUUAACCGAGGAAGUGCAUCGGAAACUGGGAAACUUGAGUGCAGAAGAGGACAGUGGAACUCCAUGUGUAGCGGUGAAAUGCGUAGAUAUAUGGAAGAACACCAGUGGCGAAGGCGGCUGUCUGGUCUGUAACUGACGCUGAGGCUCGAAAGCAUGGGUAGCGAACAGGAUUAGAUACC